AACGCGAAGAACCUUACCAGGGCUUGACAUCCCCUGNAAAGACUGCGAAAGCAGGGACGCUAUCUUCGGAUAGACAGGGAGACAGGUGGUGCAUGGUUGUCGUCAGCUCGUGUCGUGAGAUGUUGGGUUAAGUCCCGCAACGAGCGCAACCCCUGCUCUUAGUUACCAGCGGUAAGGCCGGGUACUCUAAGAGGACCGCCGCCGACGAGGCGGAGGAAGGGGGGGAUGAAGUCAGGUAUCGUGCCCCUUAUAUCUUGGGCGACACACGCGCUACAAUGGGUUGGACAGAAGGGACCAAGACAGCGAUGUGGAGGAAAUCCUCAAACCAACCCCCAGUUCAGAUUGCAGGCUGAAACCCGCCUGCAUGAAGCCGGAAUCGCUAGUAAUCGCAGAUCAGCCAAGCUGCGGUGAAUACGUUCCCGGGUCUUGUACACACCG
This 438-nucleotide ribosomal RNA is filed under the name uncultured bacterium. Its description in RNAcentral is "bacterial SSU rRNA". It matches the Rfam family "Bacterial small subunit ribosomal RNA", at positions 958 to 1392 of the family's 1533-position model. The record is from RNAcentral.